Molecule: ribosomal RNA, 408 nt
Filed under: uncultured eukaryote
Lineage: Eukaryota
Description: bacterial SSU rRNA
Rfam family: Eukaryotic small subunit ribosomal RNA
Source: RNAcentral
CAGUAGCGUAUACUAAUGUUGCUGCAGUUAAAAGCUCGUAGUUGGAUUUCUGGUUCAUCAUUGUGGUCCUGUGUGCCUUCGGGCCAUUGAGUAUCGCAAUUGAUCUGCCAUCCUAUCAGGGUUUCGGUGGUAACACUGUUAUUCUGGUUCUUUUACUUUGAAAAAUUAGAGUGUUUAAAGCAAGCUUCGCGAUGAAUACAUUAGCAUGGAAUAAUAAUAUAGGACUACGGUUCUAUUUUGUUGGUUUCUAGAACUGAAGUAAUGAUUGAUAGGGAUAGUGGGGUGCUAGUAUUGAGAGGCCAGAGGUGAAAUUCUUGGGAUUCUCUCAAGACUAACUUAUGCGAAAGCAUUCACCAAGGAUGUCUUCUUUAAUCAAGAACGAAAGUUGGGGGGAUCGAAGACGAUUAG